This is a long non-coding RNA of Dermacentor silvarum, 458 nucleotides long. RefSeq lists it as uncharacterized. The transcript has 3 exons. NCBI's taxonomy places the organism in Eukaryota, Metazoa, Arthropoda, Arachnida, Ixodida, Ixodidae. The record is from RefSeq and is a predicted model, not a curated record.
CACAGCUGUCCUCUUUGUCGACAUUUUCCGGGCAAUUUCUGGAAUAAGUGGUCAUAGAGAAAUACGGCAUUGAAUAGUGCAGCAGUGACCAUUCGCCUGAAGACAUCGUAAGGAUGCGAGCGUAUGCAUUUGUCCUGCCGAAUAUGCACGGAAAGGCAAUGAGACCUUGGUUCCUUGCCGCUGCCAUCCUUGUACCCUUUAUAUGCAACCCCUCUGAAGGAGGAGAGUAUGGAGAACAGCGCAUAGACUUUGAGCCACAUUAUUUCCCAUAUCAAAACAUCACAAAGGUAUUCGAAGAAAAUGUGACGUUGUGGCUGUACGGAACGAACUACAAGCACCAAGCUGAAGGCGGAACCCAAUGUAUCUACUUUCUACCUCAGAGCUUUCACGAUGGUGGACUAAAUUUCACCUACAACAAACUCGUGAACGGGACAUGGCAAGUAUUUUGGAAACUUUUA